Molecule: ribosomal RNA, 460 nt
Filed under: uncultured bacterium
Lineage: Bacteria
Description: partial 16S ribosomal RNA
Rfam family: Bacterial small subunit ribosomal RNA
Source: RNAcentral
CCUACGGGAGGCAGCAGUGAGGAAUAUUGGUCAAUGGACGAGAGUCUGAACCAGCCAAGUAGCGUGAAGGAUGACUGCCCUAUGGGUUGUAAACUUUUUUUAUAUGGGAAUAAAAUGUUCCACGUGUGGGAUUUUGUAUGUACCAUAUGAAUAAGGAUCGGCUAACUCCGUGCCAGCAGCCGCGGUAAUACGGAGGAUCCGAGCGUUAUCCGGAUUUAUUGGGUUUAAAGGGGGCGUAGGUGGAUUGUUAAGUCAGUUGUGAAAGUUUGCGGCUCAACCGUAAAAUUGCAGUUGAAACUGGCAGUCUGGAGUACAGUAGAGGUGGGCGGAAUUCGUGGUGUAGCGGUGAAAUGCUUAGAUAUCACGAAGAACUCCGAUUGCGAAGGCAGCUAACUGGACUGCAACUGACACUGAGGCUCGAAAGUGUGGGUAUCAAACAGGAUUAGAUACCCGUGUAGUC